UUAAUAGUAAUAUCUGCUCAAUGAAUAUUAAAUAGCCGCAUUUGUGCUAAGGUAGCAUAAUCACUUGUCUUUUAAAUAAAGACUAGAACAAAAGAUAUAAUAUUUCAAUUUAUUUCUUAUAUUUAUAUAAUUUAAAUUAUACUAUAUAUAAAAAUAUGUAUAUAAAAAAGAAAGACGACAAGACCCUAUUGAACUUAACUUAAGUUAAACUGGGGCAGUAAAUUAAUGAUUAUUUUAAAUACAUUAUGACAAAAAUAAUCUAAUAAAAUUAAUUAUAUUCAGUUACCAUAGGGAUAACAGCGUAAUUAUUUACUAAAGUUCUUAUAAAAAAAAAUGGAUUGCGACCUCGAUGUUGAAUUAAUAACCUAUUUAAAGCAAAAAUCAAAAAAGGAGGUCUGUUCGACCUUUAAAAAAUUACAUUAUUUGAGUUCAGACCGGUAUAAGCCAGGUCGGUUUCUAUCUUCUAUAUAUCUUUUUACAGUACGAAAGGACCUAAAAACAAUUUAUAUAAUUGGCAGAUUAAUGCAUUAGAAUUAGAAUCUAAUAAAACUGAA
Molecule: ribosomal RNA, 554 nt
Filed under: Neon nelli
Lineage: Eukaryota; Metazoa; Arthropoda; Arachnida; Araneae; Salticidae
Description: partial 16S ribosomal RNA
Rfam family: Bacterial large subunit ribosomal RNA (bases 169-465)
Source: RNAcentral